GCCGCGUGUAUGAAGAAGGCCUUCGGGUUGUAAAGUACUUUCAGUUGUGAGGAAGGGUGUGUAGUUAAUAGCUGCACAUCUUGACGUUAGCAACAGAAGAAGCACCGGCUAACUCCGUGCCAGCAGCCGCGGUAAUACGGAGGGUGCGAGCGUUAAUCGGAAUUACUGGGCGUAAAGCGCAUGCAGGUGGUUCAUUAAGUCAGAUGUGAAAGCCCGGGGCUCAACCUCGGAACUGCAUUUGAAACUGGUGAACUAGAGUACUGUAGAGGGGGGUAGAAUUUCAGGUGUAGCGGUGAAAUGCGUAGAGAUCUGAAGGAAUACCAGUGGCGAAGGCGGCCCCCUGGACAGAUACUGACACUCAGAUGCGAAAGCGUGGGGAGCAAACAGGAUUAGAUACCCUGGUAGUCCACGCCGUAAACGAUGUCUACUUGGAGGUUGUGGCCUUGAGCCGUGGCUUUCGGAGCUAACGCGUUAAGUAGACCGCCUGGGGAGUACGGUCGCAAGAUUAAAACUCAAAUGAAUUGACGGGGGCCCGCACAAGCGGUGGAGCAUGUGGUUUAAUUCGAUGCAACGCGAAGAACCUUACCUACUCUUGACAUCCAGAGAAGCCAGCGGAGACGCAGGUGUGCCUUCGGGAGCUCUGAGACAGGUGCUGCAUGGCUGUCGUCAGCUCGUGUUGUGAAAUGUUGGGUUAAGUCCCGCAACGAGCGCAACCCUUAUCCUUGUUUGCCAGC
This 734-nucleotide ribosomal RNA is filed under the name Vibrio cyclitrophicus. RNAcentral's name for it is "bacterial SSU rRNA". It matches the Rfam family "Bacterial small subunit ribosomal RNA", at positions 396 to 1122 of the family's 1533-position model. Lineage: Bacteria; Pseudomonadati; Pseudomonadota; Gammaproteobacteria; Vibrionales; Vibrionaceae. The record is from RNAcentral.